CGCGUAGGUGGUUUGUUAAGUUGGAUGUGAAAGCCCCGGGCUCAACCUGGGAACUGCAUCCAAAACUGGCAAGCUAGAGUACGGUAGAGGGUGGUGGAAUUUCCUGUGUAGCGGUGAAAUGCGUAGAUAUUCGCAAGAACACCAGUGGCGAAGGCGGCUCACUGGGCCAUUACUGACGCUGAGGCACGAAAGCGUGGGGAGCAAACA
This 207-nucleotide ribosomal RNA is filed under the name uncultured bacterium. RNAcentral's name for it is "partial 16S ribosomal RNA". It matches the Rfam family "Bacterial small subunit ribosomal RNA", at positions 568 to 774 of the family's 1533-position model. The record is from RNAcentral.